RNAcentral lists this ribosomal RNA (468 nucleotides) under uncultured bacterium. Its description in RNAcentral is "partial 16S ribosomal RNA". It matches the Rfam family "Bacterial small subunit ribosomal RNA", at positions 28 to 507 of the family's 1533-position model. The record is from RNAcentral.
GACGAACGCUGGCGGCGUGCUUAACACAUGCAAGUCGAACGGAAAGGCCCUGCUUUUGUGGGGUGCUCGAGUGGCGAACGGGUGAGUAACACGUGAGUAACCUGCCCUUGACUUUGGGAUAACUUCAGGAAACUGGGGCUAAUACCGGAUAGGAGCUCCUGCUGCAUGGUGGGGGUUGGAAAGUUUCGGCGGUUGGGGAUGGACUCGCGGCUUAUCAGCUUGUUGGUUGGGUAGUGGCUUACCAAGGCUUUGACGGGUAGCCGGCCUGAGAGGGUGACCGGCCACAUUGGGACUGAGAUACGGCCCAGACUCCUACGGGAGGCAGCAGUGGGGAAUAUUGCACAAUGGGCGGGAGCCUGAUGCAGCAACGCCGCGUGCGGGAUGACGGCCUUCGGGUUGUAAACCGCUUUCGCCUGUGACGAAGCGUGAGUGACGGUAAUGGGUAAAGAAGCACCGGCUAACUACGUG